AUGGGCGGGGAUGCGAGAAGCAUGGACGCGGUUGCGCGGCCCCCGGAUCCGGUGAAGGGCGUGCGCGAGAGGCGGCCAACGGGGCGUGAGGCACAGCUCCAGAUCCGGGUGGCCAGAGCAGAGCGUGAAGCCAGGAAGCAGGGGCGAGGGUUUGGAUGUGUUUGGAUGCUUUGGGUGGCCGCCUUCACCGCGGCCAGUGCAGCGGCGUGGUUGUGGUUUGGCGGCCAGGUUUGGACGCCCCGGUGUCAUCUGCGAGCGACAUGGGAGGGAGCGACCAGGAACCAAAAGAUGCCGACAGUCUUGAGUACUCAGAUCAGCAAACCCGUCUUUGUAUUCCCAUCAUUGAAACGAGGAGGGUAUUCCCAUUUUUGA
RNAcentral lists this ribosomal RNA (372 nucleotides) under Triticum aestivum (bread wheat). RNAcentral's name for it is "partial small subunit ribosomal RNA". The record is from RNAcentral. Lineage: Eukaryota; Viridiplantae; Streptophyta; Magnoliopsida; Poales; Poaceae.